CCUGGCUCAGGAUGAACGCUGGCGGCGUGCCUAAUACAUGCAAGUCGAGCGAACUGAUUAGAAGCUUGCUUCUAUGACGUUAGCGGCGGACGGGUGAGUAACACGUGGGCAACCUGCCUGUAAGACUGGGAUAACUUCGGGAAACCGAAGCUAAUACCGGAUAGGAUCUUCUCCUUCAUGGGGGAUGAUUGAAAGAUGGUUUCGGCUAUCACUUACAGAUGGGCCCGCGGUGCAUUAGCUAGUUGGUGAGGUAACGGCUCACCAAGGCAACGAUGCAUAGCCGACCUGAGAGGGUGAUCGGCCACACUGGGACUGAGACACGGCCCAGACUCCUACGGGAGGCAGCAGUAGGGAUCUUCCGCAAUGGACGAAAGUCUGACGGAGCAACGCCGCGUGAGUGAGAGGCUUUCGGGUCGUAAAACUCUGUUG
Molecule: ribosomal RNA, 429 nt
Filed under: Priestia megaterium
Lineage: Bacteria; Bacillati; Bacillota; Bacilli; Caryophanales; Bacillaceae
Description: bacterial SSU rRNA
Rfam family: Bacterial small subunit ribosomal RNA
Source: RNAcentral